Molecule: ribosomal RNA, 494 nt
Filed under: uncultured bacterium
Lineage: Bacteria
Description: partial 16S ribosomal RNA
Rfam family: Bacterial small subunit ribosomal RNA
Source: RNAcentral
GACGAACGCUGGCGGCGUGCUUAACACAUGCAAGUCGAACGGUGAAGCGCCUUCCUUUUUGGUGGGUGUGGAUGAGUGGCGAACGGGUAAGUAACACGUGAGUAACCUGCCCCCUUCUUCUGGAUAACCGCAUGAAAGUGUGGCUAAUACGGGAUAUUCUGGGUCUGUCGCAUGAUGGGUCUGGGAAAGAUAUUGUUUCGGUGGGGGAUGGGCUCGCGGCCUAUCAGCUUGUUGGUGGGGUGAUGGCCUACCAAGGCGGUGACGGGUAGCCGGCCUGAGAGGGUGGACGGUCACACUGGGACUGAGACACGGCCCAGACUCCUACGGGAGGCAGCAGUGGGGAAUAUUGCACAAUGGGCGCAAGCCUGAUGCAGCGACGCCGCGUGAGGGAUGGAGGCCUUCGGGUUGUGAACCUCUUUCGCCAGUGAAGCAGGCCUGCCUCGUUUGUGGGUGGGUUGACGGUAGCUGGAGAAGAAGCGCCGGCUAACUACGUG